This is a non-coding RNA of Solenopsis invicta (red fire ant), 46 nucleotides long. NCBI's taxonomy places the organism in Eukaryota, Metazoa, Arthropoda, Insecta, Hymenoptera, Formicidae. The record is from Rfam.
CGAUCGGCCCUUUUCAGGGCCAAUAAAACUUCCAUACCGCAAAUAG